AUCUCUGCAAUGUUUACUUACAGACGUACAAGCAUAUACGAAAGGUUGUUGAAGUGUAUAUGCAUUUCUGCAAUUGCGCUUCGUAGAAUGUAUCAGAAAGUUGAAAUCAUCAUAUGAAAUAAAUGCGCAAUGCUGUCGUUUCUGGAGUAAUUAAAACUAUUGUAACACGCUGUAAUACUUACGUGAAAUGACACGGAAACGACUCGACUUCAUCUGAUGUGACUGUAAUUGGGUGUUAUCCUCUUGGUUGUUAUGAAGGUACCUGGUGACAAGUAAACAUGAUCAUCUAUGUAACAUCCACCACAGUUGACAGGAAGUGCAACUCAAAGCAUUAGAUAACCUGUAAAAGCAGUUUCACUAUGGAUGCAGUAACUAAACACAAAGAAACACUGCUGUGAAUAUGAGGAUGUCAGAGAUCUAUAAGUAAUUUAAUAAUGAUCCAGUGUGAUUCAGAAAGUGACAGUGAUUGAAACAUUAGUAAAAUCUUUGUGCUACAGUAAUUACACUUUGCAGUUAGAAUGUGAAUGGAAUGUUCAAGUUAAAGUCAGUGUGAUGUGUCCAAUACAGAUGAUUUGCUCUCAACCAACUGACAUGCUAUACAGCUGUAAAUAUAUACAAGGUGUUUCACUAAAUGUGUUUGCCUCUGUAAGUUACGAAGUAAUAGGCAGUGGAAAUAUUUAUUGCAGUAGGUCACCAUAAGGAAUGUUACACUGUCUGCAGAGCUGUGAACAUAGUUUAUUGUGUUAUUAUCCAAAGAGUUACAGCAAAAAUAUACAACUUUUUAAUUGGAACGAUAGUUGUUUCUAUCAUGCAUUGGAAUCAGUAACACCAGCUGUAUAUACAUCAAUUUAAGUUAGAUUCCUAUCACUUUUAAUUUGGUAGCUUCAACCCUUCAAAGUUUCAGGCACAGAUACCACACACACUGCGCAUAACGCAAUGCACCUUCUAGAUGUGGUGUGGCUGAGUUGUAAUGUCGCUGGUGUCACGGAGCGAGAAGCUUCCUCGAUGUGCUGUUAGACUGCCGAGUGUCACCGCACACGGCCCUAUACCUGACAGUUCGAGCCACACAAACAAAUGGGGAUCAAUAUACCACAGUUACUGGCAUUGGAUGAAUAUGGCAUGUACGAACAAUGAGUACGUUUACAUGUUGCUGAUGCUCGGCGAGUGCUGACACGAUGCCACUGAAGCAGCCAUGGCAUACGCUGUGAGAUAUCCUAGGUGAAGAGAUCUGGCAGCCAUUACGUUCUUAUGGAGUUGGUUUUGGCUGCAGUACACCACGAUCCACAUGCCGUUGCUGCAGUCGCUGGUGUCAGUCUCACAUCUGUGUGGUGUAUAGUACAUGCCCACAGGUUUCACCCGUACUGCCUGUCACUGACCCAGUAGCUGCAUGGGAAUGAUUUCCAUGCAAGAGUUACAUUCUGUGAAUGAACUAUGCGUAAUUUUAUGCUGGAGUCUUUGCAAGGUGUUAGUUCUCAGAUGAGUCCACGUUCACAAAUUAUGGUUCAGUGAAUCGCCAUAACAUGCACUACUGGGCCACAGGCAAUCCUCGGUGGGUACGACCUGUCGACCGGCAAUGUAGGUGGUCUAUUAACGUAUGUUGUGGAAUCGUGGGGAUGAAAUCAUCGGUCGAGACUACUUCCCAGGUACACUGACAGGUGAAUUAUAUUGCGCGUUUAUAAUUGACAGUUUGGGUGGUCUCCUUGAACGUGUGUGUCUACACAUGAGAGUCCGUAUGUGGAUGCAGCACGAUGGUCACCGAGCCCAUUCUGCGCACGCUGUUGUGGAAGAACUAAACAGCAGGUUUGUGGGAAGGUGGUUGGGAUGCCAUGGUCCUCAUUCAUGGCCUGCAAGAUCACCCGAUUUAACACCAUUAGAUUUCCUUUUGUGGAGAUAUGUAAAGGAUCGUGUUUAUGUCACUGAGCCCACAUCCCCAGAUGAUCUGAAAUGGCACAGGAUGCAUGUUGCUCUGUGACACUGGUGAUGUUACAUCUCGUCUGUAGAUCCUUUAGAAGGCACAUUGCAUUGGCAUUCAGGAACAUGGACACACAUUUGAACAUUGAAUUAACUUCCCACCUCCAGAACAUCCAUCACCCACAACACAGCCAUGUAUUAUGUACAACGUGUGGUAUCUGCCCCUGAAACUUUGAAGGGUUGUAGCUCCCAAACUAAAAGUGAUAGGAAUGCAAUUUAAAUUGAUGUAUACACUGCUGGUUUUACUGAUUCCAUUGCGUGAUAGAAACAACGAUUAUUCCAUUUAAAGAAUUGUAUCUUUUUGCUGUAAUUCUUUGGAUAACAACACAAUAAACGAUGUUCAUAGUUCCGCAGACAGUGUAACGUUUCUUAUGGUGACCUACCACAAUAAAUAUUUCUGUUGCCUAUUGCUUCGUAACUUAAGGAGGCAAGCACAUUUAGUGAAACUCUCUGUAUAUACCAAGCUAACUGUUAAUCUUUUGGCAAUAUUGAGCAACAACAGAUUAACUUGUAAGUUAUUUUGAAUGAAGUGUAGGCAAUGGUAGAUACAUCUAAAUUGAAUUGUAUAGAGGUAGAAUAAUGCUGAAUUACACAUGAUUGUUGACUGUAUUGAAUAAGAAGCUCAUAAGCUCAUACAGAGAUUGCUAGGUUCCUGUGCUGGAAGUUGCUUUGUGUAACAAGUCCUCUCUUACUGUAAAGUUUGAGAAUAUUUGAGCAUCUUCUAUUUGUUGCAAUAGUUCUCUCUCUUGAAGACCGGGAUGUUGGAAUAAGCAUUAGUAUUGUGAAUUUGUUUGACCCCUCACCUCCCUCCGUAGUAAAUGCCCAAUUCCAUUGAAAAACACUGUAGAUGCUUCUUUAAAUGGUAAAAAAAGAUUUAUUAUUAACUAGACAGCAUGAUGUUCAUCCUUAUGCUUAUUUAAUAUCUCAACCUGAUAAUUACGUAUAUGGCGGACCUGAUAAUUAAAUAUUUAAAUUUUUCAAA
Schistocerca serialis cubense is the source of this 2953-nucleotide long non-coding RNA. RefSeq lists it as uncharacterized. The record is from RefSeq and is a predicted model, not a curated record. The transcript is spliced from 3 exons. Lineage: Eukaryota; Metazoa; Arthropoda; Insecta; Orthoptera; Acrididae.